Molecule: ribosomal RNA, 270 nt
Filed under: uncultured prokaryote
Description: partial 16S ribosomal RNA
Rfam family: Bacterial small subunit ribosomal RNA
Source: RNAcentral
UACGUAGGGUGCGAGCGUUGUCCGGAAUUACUGGGCGUAAAGAGCUCGUAGGUGGUUUGUCGCGUCGUCUGUGAAAUUCCGGGGCUUAACUCCGGGCGUGCAGGCGAUACGGGCAUAACUUGAGUACUGUAGGGGAGACUGGAAUUCCUGGUGUAGCGGUGAAAUGCGCAGAUAUCAGGAGGAACACCGGUGGCGAAGGCGGGUCUCUGGGCAGUAACUGACGCUGAGGAGCGAAAGCAUGGGUAGCGAACAGGAUUAGAUACCUGGGUA